Molecule: transfer RNA, 75 nt
Filed under: Pseudhymenochirus merlini (Merlin's clawed frog)
Lineage: Eukaryota; Metazoa; Chordata; Amphibia; Anura; Pipidae
Description: tRNA-Leu
Rfam family: tRNA
About the family: Transfer RNA (tRNA) molecules are approximately 80 nucleotides in length. Their secondary structure includes four short double-helical elements and three loops (D, anti-codon, and T loops).
Source: RNAcentral
AUUAGUGUGGCAGAGCCCGGCCAAUGCUAAAGACCUAAGCCCUUUCACCCAAGGGUUCAAAUCCCUUCACUAAUU